RNAcentral lists this ribosomal RNA (487 nucleotides) under uncultured bacterium. Its description in RNAcentral is "partial 16S ribosomal RNA". It matches the Rfam family "Bacterial small subunit ribosomal RNA", at positions 899 to 1397 of the family's 1533-position model. The record is from RNAcentral.
ACUCAAAUGAAUAGACGGGGACCCGCACAAGCGGUGGAGCAUGUGGUUUAAUUCGAAACAAAGCGAAAAACCUUACCAGGGUUUGACAUGCUAGCUACAAGCUUUUGGAAACAAAAGCCUUCUUCGAGAGUGCUAGCACAGGUGCUGCAUGGCUGUCGUCAGCUUGUACCGUGAGGCGCACCCUUAAGUGGGUCAACAAGCGCAACCCCCAUCGUAUGUUAAAUAUCAUGCGAAACUGCCCGCUAAAAGCGUGGAGGAAGGAGGGGAUGACGUCAAGUCAGCACGGCCCUUAUGCCCUGGGCUACACACAUCCUACAAUGGGUGUUUUACAACGAGCAGCAAGCAGGCAACUGCAAGCAAAUCUCACAAAAGCAUCCUCAGUUCGGAUUGAGGGCUGCAAUUUGCCCUCAUGAAGCUGAAAUCGCUAGUAAUCGCGGAUCAGCAGGCCGCGGUGAAUACGUUCUCGGGUCUUGUACACACCGCCCGU